GACGAACGCUGGCGGCGUGCUUAACACAUGCAAGUCGAACGGAAAGGCCCUGCUUGCAGGGUACUCGAGUGGCGAACGGGUGAGUAACACGUGGGUGAUCUGCCCUGCACUUCGGGAUAAGCCUGGGAAACUGGGUCUAAUACCGGAUAGGAGCCAUUUUUAGUGUGAUGGUUGGAAAGUUUUUUCGGUGUAGGAUGAGCUCGCGGCCUAUCAGCUUGUUGGUGGGGUAAUGGCCUACCAAGGCGGCGACGGGUAGCCGGCCUGAGAGGGGGGACGGCCACAUUGGGACUGAGAUACGGCCCAGACUCCUACGGGAGGCAGCAGUGGGGAAUAUUGCACAAGGGGCGCAAGCCUGAUGCAGCGACGCCGCGUGGGGGAUGACGGCCUUCGGGUUGUAAACUCCUUUCGCUAGGGACGAAGCUUUGUGUGACGGUACCUAGAGAAGAAGCACCGGCUAACUACGUG
Molecule: ribosomal RNA, 465 nt
Filed under: uncultured bacterium
Lineage: Bacteria
Description: partial 16S ribosomal RNA
Rfam family: Bacterial small subunit ribosomal RNA
Source: RNAcentral